RNAcentral lists this ribosomal RNA (132 nucleotides) under uncultured bacterium. RNAcentral's name for it is "partial 16S ribosomal RNA". It matches the Rfam family "Bacterial small subunit ribosomal RNA", at positions 917 to 1045 of the family's 1533-position model. The record is from RNAcentral.
GGGCCCGCACAAGCGGUGGAGUAUGUGGCUUAAUUCGAUGCAACGCGAAGAACCUUACCUGGCCUUGACAUGCUAGUAGUAGAACCCAGAAACGGGGACGAGGUAGCAAUACCAGCUAGCACAGGUGCUGCA